Molecule: non-coding RNA, 645 nt
Organism: Saimiri boliviensis boliviensis (Bolivian squirrel monkey)
Lineage: Eukaryota; Metazoa; Chordata; Mammalia; Primates; Cebidae
Source: RefSeq, a predicted model, not a curated record
CCUCUCAAAGUGGUGGGAUUUGAAGCAUGAGCCACCAUGCCCAGCCUACUUCUUGAAAUUUGGUCUCCAACCAUGACAAAAAACUGGCCAUUGCCUAAUCAGUGUUUUCUAGUAUCUUGUCAAAACUCGAAGGCCAGUAAGCAAGUUUUUCAGAAUUUGUCUCCUGCUGACAUUUUGUGUCAGUUUUUUCCUGGAACACAGUGUACCCUUUGGAUGUUCCAAGGGAGGAGAUCAAGGCACCGUUAAGGUUGAACUGUGUCCCCCAAAAGAGAUGUUGAAAUUCUAUACCAAGUAUCUCAUAAUGUGACCUGAUUUAGAAACAGGGUGCUUGCAGGUACAAUCAAGUCAAGAUGAGGCAAUACUGGAUUAAGAUGAGCCCUAAUCCAGAGACUGUUGUCAUAAGGAGAGAAAAUUUGGACACAGAGACACAGACACAUGGGAAGAACACUAUGUAGUAAAGGAGGCAGAGACUGGAGUCAGGCGUCCAUAAAACAAAAAAAUGCCAAGGAUUGCCAACAACUACCAGAAACUAGGAAGAAUCAAGGAAGGAUUUUCCUGCUCUCCCAGCUCUCCAUCAAAUGAGGGUACAGUGAGACAACUGCUGUCUGCAAACCAGGAAGAGUGCCCUCCCCAGACACCAAAUCU